CAGGUAUAUAACAUAUUGUUUUGUUUGAUAUUUGUUUUAUAAAUUUCGAAUUCCAACGUAUAAUAAUGUAAUUUUAUAACCGUACACAUAAUAAUAAUAUUGUUAUAAAUUCGUAUUUUUCAAUUUAUUUAUUACACGGCAUGUUUCACACAACGACAAUUCGGCGGCGGGCACGUUAUACAGGCACCCGCGCACGGUGGACAAACGGGGCGCGCGGCGUAUUUUCGAAUGGCGCGUUAUACAGAGCGCGGGCCGGGGCACCGCCGCGAACGCCCGCGGCGGUGCCCGUAACGCGCUGUUGAAUUCGCGAUUCGAACGGCC
This is a non-coding RNA of Cinara cedri, 321 nucleotides long. NCBI's taxonomy places the organism in Eukaryota, Metazoa, Arthropoda, Insecta, Hemiptera, Aphididae. The record is from the annotation of a GenBank genome assembly.